GAUGAACGCUGGCGGCGUGCCUAAUACAUGCAAGUCGAGCGAACGGACGAGAAGCUUGCUUCUCUGAUGUUAGCGGCGGACGGGUGAGUAACACGUGGAUAACCUACCUAUAAGACUGGGAUAACUUCGGGAAACCGGAGCUAAUACCGGAUAAUAUUUUGAACCGCAUGGUUCAAAAGUGAAAGACGGUAUUGCUGUCACUUAUAGAUGGAUCCGCGUUGCAUUAGCUAGUUGGUAAGGUAACGGCUUACCAAGGCAACGAUGCAUAGCCGACCUGAGAGGGUGAUCGGCCACACUGGAACUGAGACACGGUCCAGACUCCUACGGGAGGCAGCAGUAGGGAAUCUUCCGCAAUGGGCGAAAGCCUGACGGAGCAACGCCGCGUGAUUGAUGAAGGUCUUCGGAUCGUAAAACUCUGUUAUUAGGGAAGAACAUAUGUGUAAGUAACUGUGCACAUCUUGACGGUACCUAAUCAGAAAGCCACGGCUAACUACGUG
This 497-nucleotide ribosomal RNA is filed under the name uncultured bacterium. Its description in RNAcentral is "partial 16S ribosomal RNA". It matches the Rfam family "Bacterial small subunit ribosomal RNA", at positions 28 to 507 of the family's 1533-position model. The record is from RNAcentral.